Molecule: ribosomal RNA, 169 nt
Filed under: uncultured bacterium
Lineage: Bacteria
Description: partial 16S ribosomal RNA
Rfam family: Bacterial small subunit ribosomal RNA
Source: RNAcentral
CCUACGGGAGGCAGCAGUGGGGAAUAUUGCACAAUGGGGGAAACCCUGAUGCAGCCAUGCCGCGUGAGUGAUGAAGGCCCUAGGGUUGUAAAGCUCUUUUGUGCGGGAAGAUAAUGACUGUACCGCAAGAAUAAGCCCCGGCUAACUUCGUGCCAGCAGCCGCGGUAAU